UUAAUAAAAACUAUUUCUACUUGCUUCUAAAAGAAGGUAGACUUUAAAUAAAUAUUAGAAAACUGAGCAGCCUCACUAUUCUGUGUGUGUUCUGCAGCAUUUGUUAAGUGGGUCCAUCUGCCUUCAAGUGUGUGCACAUGUGCAUGCGUGAGUGGACCAUGCGCGCCCCGGAGUACAGCAGGCGGUUCAGUCCAAGUCCAGGCCCAGAGAGCUGCACACGAUGCCGACGUCAAAACGCCAAAACAGAACAGAGCUCCAAGUAGCGCCCCGAAAGCGGCGGAGACCUCUACUGCAAAACACGCACCGAACGCACAGACACGUCCGGAUCCCUCACAUGUGACAGGCAGAACAUCCUCUGCCUCGACUCGCCUCUGCGGUCCUUAUUUAUUGACUUCAUCAUGACUGGGCUCAAUCCUCCUCCUCCUCCUCCUGCUGUUCGUCUCCUGUUCGGAAGCUAUAGGUCAUCUCGGAUUUGACAGAUAAAAAAUGUCUGAGGAAAGCCUCUAGAUGGCGUUUUGAACCGGAGGAGAGGUGACAGGUGUUCUCUAUCUCCUUGAUGACCUGCUGAGGAGUAUUUAAGGAGGAGGCUGCCAGAAACUCACUGCCAGAGUGUUGCCCUUUGUGGUACAGCUCAAGCCACAUUACCUUGCCUUUGCCUUGACCCUGCUUUGCUCUUUGUAAUUUUGGAUAUGUUGCCUUGCAGGUUACCUGAACCUGACUUUGCCUUCACCAUCGAACUCUGCCUGGAUAUCGUCUUCUGGAAAGAAGCUAUCCAACCCCAUGAACCAAGACUCAAACCUCCUGUUUCCUCAUUGGAUCAAACCAGCUGGCAGUCUCCUGAUUCCUUCAUUCCAUGGAUCUACCUCUGUGAACCCUGUCCACCCUCCUCCUCCCAUUGCACCAACUACAGAAACUCUUGGACUAUCAAUCAUCCUGGCACACCCGUGUUCAAUGUCUCCGGUCCCACGGGUCAACAACCUCCUGGUCUCAACACCGCCCUCUGGCGGAUCUCUCCCUCAAAUCAUUGGUGUCCCGGUUCCAGUCUCUUACACAUUUCUACAUACUGUCAAUAAACUUCUUACCGUUAAAA
This is a long non-coding RNA of Girardinichthys multiradiatus, 1090 nucleotides long. RefSeq lists it as uncharacterized. The record is from RefSeq and is a predicted model, not a curated record. The transcript is spliced from 4 exons. Lineage: Eukaryota; Metazoa; Chordata; Actinopteri; Cyprinodontiformes; Goodeidae.